This is an RNA transcript of Papaver somniferum (opium poppy), 1520 nucleotides long. It is a transcript of the gene named COBRA-like protein 2, with no coding region annotated. The record is from RefSeq and is a predicted model, not a curated record. The transcript has 6 exons. NCBI's taxonomy places the organism in Eukaryota, Viridiplantae, Streptophyta, Magnoliopsida, Ranunculales, Papaveraceae.
CUGUGUACACGACGUGUAAGAAUAUCUUUUGGCACUAAAGGUUUUUGCUUUUUAGUUGAGAACAUCUUUCUCAUAUACUUUCUGAUUCUCCAACGUUUCUGUUUUGUCUUAAUCAAAUUUUCUAUGUAGUUUAUAUAAUCACCUUUUUGAUGCAUUUUUCAAUUGCCCUUGUCCUGGAUUUGCGUAGUUCAAACACAAUUUUUCUCUCCUCUAAUGGCAGUUAAUCUUCUUUCAGCUGCUCUAGCAAUACUUUUGUUGGCACUUGUGUGCAAUCAGGCAGAUUGUUACAACUCUUUAGAUCCGCACGGAAACAUCACUGUUACUUUCGACAUACAUAAAUGGACAUCAGAUGGCUAUAUGGCAAGAGUGACUAUCCAAAACUACUACCAGUAUCGCCACGUGGAGAAGCCAGGUUGGGCACUAGGAUGGUCGUGGGCCAAAGGUGAAAUAAUAUGGUCAAUGAUUGGUGCUUUUGCAACACAACAAGGGAAUUGUUCAGCUUUUAAGAAUCAAAUGAUUCCACAUUCAUGCAAGAAAAAUCCAACGAUUGCUGAUUUAAUGGAAGAUGCUAAAGCGGAGAAAAGAUCAGACAACUGCUGUCAUGGUGGACUUCUUUCUGCAUGGGCAAUUGAUUCUUCAAAAUCCUUUUCUAGUUUUGAAAUAGUAGUUGGCAAUUUGGAGGGAAAUUCUUCUGGUCAUAUGCCUCGGAAUCUCACUUUAAUGGCUCCCGGACCUGGUUACACUUGCGGAGCAUUUGGAGACACCGACCCCACCAUUUAUCUAGACAAUGAUGGUAGAAGAGAAAUGCAAGUUUUCAGGACUUGGAAAGCAACAUGUACUUACUCUUCCUUCAUAGCUAACAAGGCUCCGGUUUGUUGUGUUUCUCUCUCUACAUUUUACAAUCCUACUAUCACUCCGUGUCCCGCUGCAGCUGUACAUGUAGACUUGCUGCCGACAAUGGUGCAGGCUCGUGCAUAGGUGAUGGCUUCUGAUCCAGUGAUCUGGACAGUAACAACAACUUACUACAAUGCACUGAUCACAUGUGCCCGAUUCGGGUCUACUGGCAUGUAAUGAGGAACUAUGAUGGUUAUUGGAGGGUAAAACUUACUGUAACAAACUAUAAAUUUGGCACAAACUAUUCCGAUUGGAAUGUACUGGUGCAACAUCCUGGUUUCAAAAUGUCUCCUUCAACUUAUAGCUUCAACAGUACAUUGCUUCCAUCUUUGGGCUUUGAAGGUGAUAAGGUAGCUCUUUUCUGGGGCAUUGGUCACUACAACAGCGAACUUCCGCAAGCCAAACUGAAUCAAGAAGGAUAUGUGACAACUGAGAUACUUUUGGGGAAGGAUGUUAAGUCAUUUACACUGAGAAAUGGAUGGGCUUUUCCUCAAAAAGUUUCUUUUAACGGCGAAAACUGUGUAAUGCCUCUUCCUGAUGAUUUUCCAAUACUGCCUAGCAGUAGCUUCAUCUGGAAACCAAACACUUACCACCUUUUAUUACUUUUAACUGUCGUUUUUGGAAGU